CUUCCUUGAAGUGAUCAUGAUUGUUGGUUGGUUUCAUUAAUAAGGAAUCAAAAAACAAAUCUGGUGAUCACUUGAGAAAUAAUUAAUUUCUGCAUUAGAGGAAACUAAACUGCAUUAGGCAUCAUAUAUCAUUUAUGUGUUAACUCAAUGAAGAAUUGGGGGGAAAUAUGUUACUUAAAAAUAAUAGGAGUGUUAUAGUGGUGUAAACACAAGAACUCAUAAGACAUAUGAGACUUCUAAGCAUAUGCUAGUCAGAAUUUAACAUCGUUAUUUCCUGAUAUGGAUGUGAUCUGGAGAGUUAAUCGUGUUGCAUGUGCUGCCUUGAUAGUGCUUCCUUCAUUUCUUCUGAGUAAUAGGCCGUUUGUCUGUGCUUAGUUUUCUGAGGGUGAGGGCUGUAAACUGAGCUUUUAGUUAGACCUUCCAUCUGAUUUCCAGCAGAACCUGAUUAUUUUUCAAGUUCACUGAUCUUUUUGAACAUUCACCUAAUUCCUUGUCACAUGGAAUCACCUUGUAAAGCAGCCAUCAAAUGACUGGGACCUAGUUUCAUUUUUCUUCCUUCUGAAACAGUUGGUGACACCCUCAACAUUUCUGUAGGAAUUUUUUCUGUAGAUUAAUAGUAUUCUGGACACAACUGUUAGGAGAUACAAUGGUAAAUGGUAAUAGUUUCCAUUCUAUAUGGUCCCUGUUGACAUGAGCCAUGCUAUGUGCUAUAAAGAUAAAAUUAGCACAUCUGCAUUGUGUUGAAUCAUAUGUGUCAUAUAUUACAACAAAGUAAAGGCCAAAUUAGCUAUGAAUUAUCAUCUGACGUCCAAUUAGUUUUAAAAACUUUGACGUUGCCAAUUGGUCCACCACCAUAAUGACCCGUCAUGUCUCAUUUCACCAGCAUAUAGAGGACUGGUUUGACCAAAUUAAAAUUUUAGCCAUAUUUAGUGGACUAAUUCAUAAGCCAAUUUGUCUGUCAUUCCUGUGUUUCAACAGCACUUACAGUUGUAAUAAUAUAUUCUACAAUGAUAUGAGUAAUGAACAGUGAAAGAAAUUUGAAGUUCAUAUCCAUGAAUUAUUCCCUCAUUAGGCACAAGAUAUUUUGUUGUUGAUUUUAGCACUUCUUUACACUACAUUAGCACUUGUUUGGAGCUUUCCUCCCUUCUCCUUCUAAUAAAUUGUAAUAACUGUUUGGACAUCAGACAAAUGUGGCACUUGAGGUGCUA
RNAcentral lists this unclassified non-coding RNA (1208 nucleotides) under Hevea brasiliensis (rubber tree). The record is from RNAcentral. Lineage: Eukaryota; Viridiplantae; Streptophyta; Magnoliopsida; Malpighiales; Euphorbiaceae.